AGAGCGAACGCUGGCGGCAGGCUUAACACAUGCAAGUCGAGCGGGCGUAGCAAUACGUCAGCGGCAGACGGGUGAGUAACGCGUGGGAACGUACCUUUUGGUUCGGAACAACACAGGGAAACUUGUGCUAAUACCGGAUAAGCCCUUACGGGGAAAGAUUUAUCGCCAAAAGAUCGGCCCGCGUCUGAUUAGCUAGUUGGUGAGGUAACGGCUCACCAAGGCGACGAUCAGUAGCUGGUCUGAGAGGAUGAUCAGCCACAUUGGGACUGAGACACGGCCCAAACUCCUACGGGAGGCAGCAGUGGGGAAUAUUGGACAAUGGGCGCAAGCCUGAUCCAGCCAUGCCGCGUGAGUGAUGAGGGCCCUAGGGUUGUAAAGCUCUUUUGUGCGGGAAGAUAAUGACGGUACCGCAAGAAUAAGCCCCGGCUAACUUCGCGCCAGCAGCCGC
This 448-nucleotide ribosomal RNA is filed under the name uncultured bacterium. RNAcentral's name for it is "SSU rRNA". It matches the Rfam family "Bacterial small subunit ribosomal RNA", at positions 26 to 518 of the family's 1533-position model. The record is from RNAcentral.